CGGAACACGAAGUAUAAUCAGAUGCCUAUAUAGCCCCAUUUGGAACAUAAUUCUUAUAAUUAAACUAAAAUUUAUAAGGAUAUAUAGAGGCAUAUCCUUUAACACAAAAGAUACAAUAAACAAUUACAUUACAGUGCAUCAUGAUUGUUUCGGAUCUUUAUUGAGCAAAUAUCACAUUAUUAUUUAAAAUCAACGAACUUCUCUGUCAAAACUCAAAUAAUAAAUGAUAGAAUCUUUAAAGCAAAUUAGAUGUCAUAUCUUACAAGUUCAUUACUGAAAGUAAAGUUUGCUUGUUUCACUUAAGAAAUAAUAAAUAGAUAAUGCAACAAAGGAAACUCUAUCAGUAAACUAUAAUCAUAACGUUUACUAGAUUACAAGCACAUUCAUUUUAUUUACUGCAUAUGGACUAACACAAAUCUAGUAAUUAGGACGUAAUUACAAUUAAAACAAACCUUGAAUUUCACACAAGCUUUAUAGCAUUAGUACUUGUUAAAAAUGC
This 499-nucleotide long non-coding RNA is filed under the name Nicotiana benthamiana. Its description in RNAcentral is "long non-coding RNA (NBEN_LNC016123)". The record is from RNAcentral. Lineage: Eukaryota; Viridiplantae; Streptophyta; Magnoliopsida; Solanales; Solanaceae.